GGGUUGUGAGGUUAAGCGACUAAGCGUACACGGUGGAUGCCCUGGCAGUCAGAGGCGAUGAAGGACGUGCUAAUCUGCGAAAAGCGUCGGUAAGGUGAUAUGAACCGUUAUAGCCGGCGAUGUCCGAAUGGGGAAACCCAGUGCAAUUCGUUGCACUAUCGUUAACUGAAUACAUAGGUUAACGAGGCGAACCGGGGGAACUGAAACAUCUAAGUACCCCGAGGAAAAGAAAUCAACCGAGAUUCCCCCAGUAGCGGCGAGCGAACGGGGAGCAGCCCAGAGUCUGAAUCAGCUUGUGUGUUAGUGGAACGGUCUGGAAAGUCCGACGGUACAGGGUGAUAGUCCCGUACACCAAAAUGCACAGGUUGUGAACUCGAAGAGUAGGGCGGGACACGUGGUAUCCUGUCUGAAUAUGGGGGGACCAUCCUCCAAGGCUAAAUACUCCUGACUGACCGAUAGUGAACCAGUACCGUGAGGGAAAGGCGAAAAGAACCCCGGCGAGGGGAGUGAAAAAGAACCUGAAACCGUGUACGUACAAGCAGUGGGAGCACCUUCGGGUGUGACUGCGUACCUUUUGUAUAAUGGGUCAGCGACUUAUAUUCUGUAGCAAGGUUAACCGUAUAGGGGAGCCGCAGGGAAACCGAGUCUUAACUGGGCGUUAAGUUGCAGGGUAUAGACCCGAAACCCGGUGAUCUAGCCAUGGGCAGGUUGAAGGUUGGGUAACACUAACUGGAGGACCGAACCGACUAAUGUUGAAAAAUUAGCGGAUGACUUGUGGCUGGGGGUGAAAGGCCAAUCAAACCGGGAGAUAGCUGGUUCUCCCCGAAAGCUAUUUAGGUAGCGCCUCGUGAACUCAUCUUCGGGGGUAGAGCACUGUUUCGGCUAGGGGGUCAUCCCGACUUACCAACCCGAUGCAAACUACGAAUACCGAAGAAUGUUAUCACGGGAGACACACGGCGGGUGCUAACGUCCGUCGUGAAGAGGGAAACAACCCAGACCGCCAGCUAAGGUCCCAAAGUCAUGGUUAAGUGGGAAACGAUGUGGGAAGGCACAGACAGCCAGGAUGUUGGCUUAGAAGCAGCCAUCAUUUAAAGAAAGCGUAAUAGCUCACUGGUCGAGUCGGCCUGCGCGGAAGAUGUAACGGGGCUAAACCAUGCACCGAAGCUGCGGCAGCGACACUAUGUGUUGUUGGGUAGGGGAGCGUUCUGUAAGCCUGCGAAGGUGACCUGUGAGGGUUGCUGGAGGUAUCAGAAGUGCGAAUGCUGACAUAAGUAACGAUAAAGCGGGUGAAAAGCCCGCUCGCCGGAAGACCAAGGGUUCCUGUCCAACGUUAAUCGGGGCAGGGUGAGUCGACCCCUAAGGCGAGGCCGAAAGGCGUAGUCGAUGGGAAACAGGUUAAUAUUCCUGUACUUGGUGUUACUGCGAAGGGGGGACGGAGAAGGCUAUGUUAGCCGGGCGACGGUUGUCCCGGUUUAAGCAUGUAGGCUGGUUAUCCAGGCAAAUCCGGAUAAUCAAGGCUGAGGUGUGAUGACGAGGCACUACGGUGCUGAAGUAACAAAUGCCCUGCUUCCAGGAAAAGCCUCUAAGCAUCAGGUAACAUCAAAUCGUACCCCAAACCGACACAGGUGGUCAGGUAGAGAAUACCAAGGCGCUUGAGAGAACUCGGGUGAAGGAACUAGGCAAAAUGGUGCCGUAACUUCGGGAGAAGGCACGCUGGUGUGUAGGUGAAGCCCCUGCGGGUGGAGCUGAGACCAGUCGAAGAUACCAGCUGGCUGCAACUGUUUAUUAAAAACACAGCACUGUGCAAACACGAAAGUGGACGUAUACGGUGUGACGCCUGCCCGGUGCCGGAAGGUUAAUUGAUGGGGUUAUCCGUAAGGAGAAGCUCUUGAUCGAAGCCCCGGUAAACGGCGGCCGUAACUAUAACGGUCCUAAGGUAGCGAAAUUCCUUGUCGGGUAAGUUCCGACCUGCACGAAUGGCGUAAUGAUGGCCAGGCUGUCUCCACCCGAGACUCAGUGAAAUUGAACUCGCUGUGAAGAUGCAGUGUACCCGCGGCAAGACGGAAAGACCCCGUGAACCUUUACUAUAGCUUGACACUGAACAUUGAGCCUUGAUGUGUAGGAUAGGUGGGAGGCUUUGAAGCGUGGACGCCAGUCUGCGUGGAGCCAACCUUGAAAUACCACCCUUUAAUGUUUGAUGUUCUAACGUUGGCCCCUGACCGGGGUUGCGGACAGUGUCUGGUGGGUAGUUUGACUGGGGCGGUCUCCUCCCAAAGCGUAACGGAGGAGCACGAAGGUUAGCUAAUCCUGGUCGGACAUCAGGAGGUUAGUGCAAUGGCAUAAGCUAGCUUGACUGCGAGCGUGACGGCGCGAGCAGGUGCGAAAGCAGGUCAUAGUGAUCCGGUGGUUCUGAAUGGAAGGGCCAUCGCUCAACGGAUAAAAGGUACUCCGGGGAUAACAGGCUGAUACCGCCCAAGAGUUCAUAUCGACGGCGGUGUUUGGCACCUCGAUGUCGGCUCAUCACAUCCUGGGGCUGAAGUAGGUCCCAAGGGUAUGGCUGUUCGCCAUUUAAAGUGGUACGCGAGCUGGGUUUAGAACGUCGUGAGACAGUUCGGUCCCUAUCUGCCGUGGGCGCUGGAGAAUUGAGGGGGGCUGCUCCUAGUACGAGAGGACCGGAGUGGACGCAUCACUGGUGUUCGGGUUGUCAUGCCAAUGGCACUGCCCGGUAGCUAAAUGCGGAAGAGAUAAGUGCUGAAAGCAUCUAAGCACGAAACUUGCCCCGAGAUGAGUUCUCCCUGAGACUUUAAGUCUCCUGAAGGAACGUUAAAGACGAUGACGUUGAUAGGCCGGGUGUGUAAGCGCAGCGAUGCGUUGAGCUAACCGGUACUAAUGAACCGUGAGGCUUAACCUUACAACGCCGAAG
RNAcentral lists this ribosomal RNA (2923 nucleotides) under Klebsiella pneumoniae. RNAcentral's name for it is "23S ribosomal RNA". It matches the Rfam family "Bacterial large subunit ribosomal RNA". The record is from RNAcentral. Lineage: Bacteria; Pseudomonadati; Pseudomonadota; Gammaproteobacteria; Enterobacterales; Enterobacteriaceae.